CCCCGCGAAGAUGACCUGGCGCGUUUGCUCUCGUCCGCGUGCUGUCUUUUCCCGGAUUUUCUGGAAGGGCAAAUCCGUCGCGUUGCACCUGUGACUUUCGCCGUGUUUCCCAUCUUUUCUUUUUCCCCAAGUCGGUGACUGAACAGUUUUAUUGACGGACUGAAGGAUGAACUGAAGUUAGCAGACGUGUGACGGCGCAGCUCUGCUCCGCAGGGAUAAACAGCGUCGUUUCGAGGCUUCAGCAAGCUUCUGUGACCGACCUGGUCAGUGGACCGCAUCCCAGCGUGCUCACCGCAGUUCGCCCGGACUGUAAGCUGUGGCGAGCUGUGGCAGCUGUGAAGAUGAGAGCAGGGAAUUGUGUAUAGGGACCCUAGAAAGCAGUGUCAGGAGAGCAGCUUCAGGAAUGAAGACUCAGGAGAGCAGCCUCAGGAAUGAAGACUCAGGAGAGCAGCUUCAGGAAUGAAGACUCAGGAGAGCAGCUUCAGGAGAUCAACUUCAGGAGAACCGACUCAGAAGAGCAACUUCAGUAAUGAAGAUUCAGGAGAGCAACCUCAGGAAUGAAGUCUCAGGAGAGCAGCUUCGGGAGAACCGACUCAGAAGAGCAACUUCAGUAAUGAAGACUCAGGAGAGCAGCCUCAGGAAUGAAGUCUCAGGAGAGCAGCUUCGGGAGAACAGACUCAGGAGAGCAGCUUCAGGAGAGCAGCUUCAGGAAUGAAGACUCAGGAGAGCAGCUUCAGGAGAGCAGACUCUGGAAAGGAGACUCAGGAAAGCAGCUUCAGGAGAGUAACUAUAGGAUAAAAACUUAAGGAGAUCAGUCUCUCGGGAGAGCAACUUAGGAAGAGAAGCCUGGAGAGAACAGUAGCAAGAGAAGAGCCUCGGAGGCGCUGGCUGUACUGUGAGACCCCAAAGCAGAUAAUGUGUGACCUACAGAUGUUAUGCCUGGAAGGUUGCUGCUCCUGUCACUCCUCUGUUUGCUCCACUGACCCCGAACCCUCCCUCUUCUGCUGUACACAUGAUUACUGUGGGAAUUGUCUCACCAUCAGCUGUUCAGUCCCCCCCCCCAACCUUGGAGGCGUCUGUCUUGUUUUCACCUGUUCCAUUCUGUCUCCUGCAGAACCCCCCUGUCCCAGCCCUCAAACUAGAGGGGGACCUUCUUGUUCCCUUCUGUCCAGGUGACUGUCAUUCUCCUGUCCCUAAAGCUGCCCAGUGUCUGUCCUGGAUCUGGGGCACCUUCUGCGGAGUAAAGUGUGGUUAGUGCAGCUCAACCAGGCAGAGCUGUCUGCCUGAUAGGUGACC
Molecule: long non-coding RNA, 1296 nt
Organism: Brienomyrus brachyistius
Lineage: Eukaryota; Metazoa; Chordata; Actinopteri; Osteoglossiformes; Mormyridae
Exons: 3
Source: RefSeq, a predicted model, not a curated record